GUGACGGGAGGUGGAGCUGUACGAAGACACGAAGAAAAAAUCCACGAUGCAUCUACUAGGAAAAACGACGACAGUUCCGGUACUAAUCCCGUUGUGUCUUAUCACACCGACGACGUCGAAGGAAAAGAAAAAGAUUGUAACGAAAAUGUAUCGGCGGUGUCGAAUCUGACUACUAUCAAGUUUAAAGGGAGAACGAGAACAACAAGAACAAGAGCGGCAUCGUUACUAGCAUCCUCACGACCGAUAGAACAAAAUGGGUACAAUUAUUCGAAGAAGACAAUACCCAAACAUAGAUUGAUAUUGAAUUCCUUGUCAUCGUCUUCGAACCAAAAGACGGGAACCCAAAAUUCAGCGGCAACGACGGUGGUAGGAGCCAGAAUAACA
RNAcentral lists this ribosomal RNA (384 nucleotides) under uncultured eukaryote. RNAcentral describes it as "partial small subunit ribosomal RNA". The record is from RNAcentral.